UACGUAGGGACCAAGCGUUGUCCGGAAUCAUUGGGCGUAAAGCGCGCGUAGGUGGCCAUUUAAGUCCGCUGUGAAAGUCAGAGGCUCAACCUUUGAAAGCCGGUGGAUACUGGAUGGCUAGAGUACGGAAGAGGCGAGUGGAAUUCCUGGUGUAGCGGUGGAAUGCGCAGAUAUCAGGAGGAACACCGAUGGCGAAGGCAGGUCUCUGGGCAUUAACUGACGCUGAGGAGCGAAAGCAUGGGGAGCGAACAGG
This 253-nucleotide ribosomal RNA is filed under the name uncultured bacterium. RNAcentral describes it as "partial 16S ribosomal RNA". It matches the Rfam family "Bacterial small subunit ribosomal RNA", at positions 524 to 776 of the family's 1533-position model. The record is from RNAcentral.